CGCGUGCUCCGGGGUCGGUGUAAUUCCGAGCCGGCGGUGACAGUCCGCGACCCGCGGUCCCAUCCUCGUGAUGAGACUUCGGUUGAGCCGGUGAAAUUCCGGCACCGACGGUGAAAGUCCGGAAGGGAGGAGCAUGAG
This 138-nucleotide non-coding RNA is filed under the name Aeromicrobium sp. 9AM. RNAcentral describes it as "FMN". It matches the Rfam family "FMN riboswitch aptamer (RFN element)". From Rfam's summary of the family: The RFN element is a highly conserved domain that is found frequently in the 5'-untranslated regions of prokaryotic mRNAs that encode for flavin mononucleotide (FMN) biosynthesis and transport proteins. This element is a metabolite-dependent riboswitch that directly binds FMN in the absence of proteins. Lineage: Bacteria; Bacillati; Actinomycetota; Actinomycetes; Propionibacteriales; Nocardioidaceae. The record is from RNAcentral.